RNAcentral lists this ribosomal RNA (253 nucleotides) under uncultured bacterium. RNAcentral describes it as "partial 16S ribosomal RNA". It matches the Rfam family "Bacterial small subunit ribosomal RNA", at positions 524 to 776 of the family's 1533-position model. The record is from RNAcentral.
UACGUAGGGUGCGAGCGUUGUCCGGAAUUACUGGGCGUAAAGAGCUCGUAGGUGGUUUGUCGCGUUGUCCGUGAAAACUCACAACUCAAUUGUGGGCGUGCGGGCGAUACGGGCAGACUGGAGUACUGCAGGGGAGACUGGAAUUCCUGGUGUAGCGGUGGAAUGCGCAGAUAUCAGGAGGAACACCGGUGGCGAAAGCAGCUCUCUGGGACGGUACUGACGCUGAGACGCGAAAGCGUGGGGAGCAAACAGG